UGAGUAACACGUGGGCAAUCUGCCCUGCACUUCGGGAUAAGCCUGGGAAACUGGGUCUAAUACCGGAUAGGACCUUUAGGCGCAUGCCUUUUGGUGGAAAGCUUUUGCGGUGUGGGAUGGGCCCGCGGCCUAUCAGCUUGUUGGUGGGGUGAUGGCCUACCAAGGCGACGACGGGUAGCCGGCCUGAGAGGGUGUCCGGCCACACUGGGACUGAGAUACGGCCCAGACUCCUACGGGAGGCAGCAGUGGGGAAUAUUGCACAAUGGGCGCAAGCCUGAUGCAGCGACGCCGCGUGGGGGAUGACGGCCUUCGGGUUGUAAACCUCUUUCACCAUCGACGAAGGUCCGGGUUUUCUCGGAUUGACGGUAGGUGGAGAAGAAGCACCGGCCAACUACGUGCCAGCAGCCGCGGUAAUACGUAGGGUGCGAGCGUUGUCCGGAAUUACUGGGCGUAAAGAGCUCGUAGGUGGUUUGUCGCGUUGUUCGUGAAAUCUCACGGCUUAACUGUGAGCGUGCGGGCGAUACGGGCAGACUAGAGUACUGCAGGGGAGACUGGAAUUCCUGGUGUAGCGGUGGAAUGCGCAGAUAUCAGGAGGAACACCGGUGGCGAAGGCGGGUCUCUGGGCAGUAACUGACGCUGAGGAGCGAAAGCGUGGGGAGCGAACAGGAUUAGAUACCCUGGUAGUCCACGCCGUAAACGGUGGGUACUAGGUGUGGGUUUCCUUCCUUGGGAUCCGUGCCGUAGCUAACGCAUUAAGUACCCCCGCCUGGGGAGUACGGGCCGCAAGGCUAAAACUCAAAGGAAUUGACGGGGGGCCCGCACAA
RNAcentral lists this ribosomal RNA (824 nucleotides) under Mycobacterium sp. Its description in RNAcentral is "bacterial SSU rRNA". It matches the Rfam family "Bacterial small subunit ribosomal RNA", at positions 107 to 928 of the family's 1533-position model. Lineage: Bacteria; Bacillati; Actinomycetota; Actinomycetes; Mycobacteriales; Mycobacteriaceae. The record is from RNAcentral.